AAAGUUGAGAAGCAGUGUCUUAGCACAAACUAAGCUAUUUUCAAAAUUUAGACAUGAGUAAAAAUAAGAAAUAGGAUCGGAGUUAGGGAGUCAAGCUAGUCUCAGCAAUGGCAUAGAGGAAAAGAAGGAAGCUGACGAUCACAGUACUUUUAAAAGCUGAGUCCUUCCUAUGCUCCGGGCACCUCGCUGGGUUCUUAGCAAAAACUAACUCCUUUGAUUUCCACAACAGACCUGUAAAUUAACAACAGUUUAUGUCCUCAUUUUUAGAUUGUUGAUGUACAGUGGUGAAGUAACCAAGAGGCACUCAGGCAGUAAGUGGGAGGGCCAGUGCACCACCCCAGAUCUUCUGCUCAGAGACCACAUCUAGAUCAUUACCAACCACUCCAGGCCAGGUACAAACACCCAACAGAGAACUUUCAACUCAAAUUCCCCUGAGCCAUUCAACAGGGCCUUCUCUUCAGGAACUUCAUCCUCUCCGGCUCGACAAAAACCCUUCACAGAAGUAAUCAUCCCAACUUGCAGAAGAGGGAGCUAAAGUUCAGAGAAGUUGAGUGAACUCAAGGAAAUCAUCCUACUGGUGGAAGCAGGAUCCCAACUCAGAUCUGGGUGUCGUGAAACCGUUCUUUAACAGCUCUCACCUACCUGCCUUUCUGGUAUUUGUCCAAGCAUGUAGGAAAUACCAACUAAACCACUACGCUAGUUGUGGAAAUUCAUAUCUUGUUGAAUGAAUGUAUGCUGUUGCUCCUUCCUCUUGUCUGAUCCCCAAAUCCAUGAAUUCACCGACUUACCUACAACCUACCAGCCUGUGAACAUCAUAUCGGCACCUCAAACUCAACAAACUUGCCCCAGACCGCUCCUCCUGGUCCGGGGUUGGCUAUCUCAGAGAAUGUUCCACAAUUGGCCUGAUCAUUAGGAGUCAGAAAACAGGAAGUCAGUUCUUUCUCCCAGUGCCCUGCGGCCACCACCCUGGUUCUCUGGACUCCGCACAUCGCCUCUUACCUUCCUCCUGUCUAUUCUCUUCAAAAGGCUUGUUGUACCUGUUGUGUCAAACAGUGGAAUGGCUCCUAGCGGGAAAGGAUGGCAUAAAAUCCAAAAUCCUUCCUCAGCGUACACAGCCCAGCAGGGUCCGGCCCCUCCCUGGCCCCGCAGCCCCAUCUCCCACACUCUUGGCUCUGUGCGUGUCUGUCACAGACAGCCUUUCUACACUGCCCCAAAGCCACUGUAUUUCUUCCAGUCUCAGGUUCGGGGCAUUUGAAUAAUUAAUGAUUCCCCACCCGAUUUCGUUUUCCCCGUGGUUCUUAGUGUCUUCUAAGCUAUUUUAUAACUUAUGGUAUCGUUGCUUAUUGUCUGUCUCCCUACACUGGAAUAUAAGUUCCCCUACAACAGAGGCUAUCAUCCAUUUCAUUCACUAGAACCCCGAGCAAUGUCUGGGUCCUCCUGCUUAACAAACAGCUGUUGAAUAAAUUAUUUCAUUCACUUUUAUGUAUGUCACUUAGA
Molecule: long non-coding RNA, 1497 nt
Organism: Mustela lutreola (European mink)
Lineage: Eukaryota; Metazoa; Chordata; Mammalia; Carnivora; Mustelidae
Exons: 3
Source: RefSeq, a predicted model, not a curated record